GUCCCGUACGACUUCGUGGAGUUGUUCGAUUUCAACGAAAAGUUUGUUUUGAAGCUCACGACUAAGGGGGAAGGAGGCGAUGGCGGUGUUGUCGAGCACUCGAGCAUCGGGGUCAUGGACGGCGCCUACUUCAUGGGGAGGGGCGAGAUCCUGCACUGGAUCAAUGCCACCCUCCAGCUCUCCCUCGCCAAGGUCGAGGAGGCUGCGUCGGGGGCGGUGCAGUGCCAGCUGAUGGAUAUGGUUCAUCCCGGAGUGGUGCGGAUGCAUAAGCUAACUUUGAUGCAAAGACCGAAUAUGACAUGAUCCAGAACUACAAGAUUCUUCAUGAUGUGUUCAACAAGCUGUGCAUAAUAAUGCAAGCCAAUAUAUACAACGCAUCCUAUCCCAGGCUCCUCUCCGUCCUCGACGUUAUUUCAAGAACUUGAGAUGGCAUAUGCCAAUUUCAAAUUAGAUUACUAUGGAACUCUGUGAUAUCAAAAGUUCACUCAAUAAUGAAAUAGAACAGCUUCAUUCAGAUUUCCAAGAGCUGAGGACAACCUUUAAGAAGGAAGUGGAUAAGAGAAUAAAAAUGUAGAUUUGUCAGCUAACUUAGGGAGCUUGAAAUUGAAUGAUGCUUCUGAAAAUCAUGAGGAAAGCAGAGGCACUGAGGAUGGCAAACUGAUGAGGCUUUGAAGAUGCAAAUUGGUUGCCUUCAGAAGAUGAGAAGAAAGAAAAAACGGGAGUCUAUUGGUGGAGGGAUUGGAAGCAUCUCAAACAUUUUAGAUGCAUCACAAAUGACAUUGAAAAUAUCUCCCAUACUUCAUACCACAGAUUUUGAUCAACAUGGCAUCAGGCCACGUCAGCAUGAGAUAUGGUUUCCAGAUAAACUUCCUUGUUACCAUUAGGCAUAGCUAUGCUUGUGCGACCGCUGCUCAAGCUAUUUGUGAUGCUACACGGAUGAUUCUAUUUGGAGAUGCCGAUGUGAUGGUGGCUGGUGGAACAGAGUCCACUAUCGAUGCUUUGUCUAUAGGUGGAUUUUCUAGGCAAGUUAAGGCCAUUUGUCUAACAUACAGAUCCAAAAUCCCAUCUUGAUUUUGUGCAAGGUUGCAGAUCCAUCGGUUCCUGGGUUCUUAGCGUGCUGCUGGUUCGGAUUCCCCUGCUGCUUGUUCUUAUGCAAACCUCCCCCCACCCCCUCCUAUGAUGUCUUGUGCUAAUCUGAGUAUAUGUCCAUGCCUAUAAUCUGUUCAUGUAUACAUGGCAGUGAUGUUUUUUUCAGCUGUCCAUGCCUAUGAAAUUUUCCUAAUCUGUACAUGUGACCAUUACAUUGUUAUUUUUUUUUUGUUUCUGCAUAUUUCUUCCAUUCA
This is an RNA transcript of Panicum virgatum (switchgrass), 1343 nucleotides long. It is a transcript of the gene named 3-oxoacyl-[acyl-carrier-protein] synthase, mitochondrial-like, with no coding region annotated. NCBI's taxonomy places the organism in Eukaryota, Viridiplantae, Streptophyta, Magnoliopsida, Poales, Poaceae. The transcript has 12 exons. The record is from RefSeq and is a predicted model, not a curated record.